This 252-nucleotide unclassified non-coding RNA is filed under the name Borreliella bissettiae. RNAcentral describes it as "Borreliella bissettii 5S-23S ribosomal RNA intergenic spacer". The record is from RNAcentral. Lineage: Bacteria; Pseudomonadati; Spirochaetota; Spirochaetia; Spirochaetales; Borreliaceae.
CUGCGAGUUCGCGGGAGAUAGGUUAUUGCCAGGGUUUUUAUUUUUAUAUUUUAAAUCUUGAUUUUAUUUUAUGUUUUUUAAAUGUUAGUUUUUUUGAAUGUGUUAUUUAAAUAACAUAAAAAAUAAAAUAUAUAUUGACAUGGAUUAAACAAAGAUAUAUAUUAUUUUAUGUUGCGUAAACAAAUUGGCAAAAUAGAGAUGGAAGAUAAAAAUAUGGUCAAAGUAAUAAGAGUCUAUGGUGAAUGCCUAGGA